ACUCGUGGGAACUGAAAGAAGAGUGCAGCGAUUACCAACUCGCUGAUUUAAAUCUAUAGCAACGCCGAAUCCUUUUCUUCGAAUUAAAUCUAUAUGGUCAAUUAAAACAGUUUCCUCUGUAGCAGCUAAAUCCAGUCUUUUUGGAAGGACUAAGUCUUGGCUGUUGAUAACUAAAUUACUUUUGAGAUGUUCAUAGUUGAACUUUUCAUCGCUGGCAUGUUGAUCAAUUAUAAACAAAUUGUUUCCAUGAACAACCACUAUGAAUCCUCUAUUGAAUUGACCAACAACCCUCAUUCUUAAAAAAUCGGCUUUAUGUACAGUUAGAUUCAAAUGAUCUUCCUGA
Non-coding RNA from Schizosaccharomyces pombe (fission yeast), 343 nucleotides. Lineage: Eukaryota; Fungi; Ascomycota; Schizosaccharomycetes; Schizosaccharomycetales; Schizosaccharomycetaceae. The record is from the annotation of a GenBank genome assembly.